UCCCUGGGGGCUCAGAGGUUAGAGCAUCUGCCUGCAAUGCAGGAGACCUGGGUUCAGUCCCUGGGUUGGGAA
Molecule: transfer RNA, 72 nt
Organism: Ovis aries (sheep)
Lineage: Eukaryota; Metazoa; Chordata; Mammalia; Artiodactyla; Bovidae
Rfam family: tRNA
About the family: Transfer RNA (tRNA) molecules are approximately 80 nucleotides in length.
Source: Rfam